UUUGGAAUUUGUGUCAAAUGUUCGGACUCCUUGGUGUUUUUCCAUACAAUACAAUGUAAAAUAUUUUGCCCCAUAACACCCAUUUAUUUUUUCAUAUAAGACUUAAUAGCUCAUGAAAGGUUAUUUACCAAAAUUUUAGAAGAUUCUUUAUUUUCUUUCUUUUGUUUUAAGACCUAAUAAUAUCAAUGCAAAUAUAAGGUAAAAGUCCAAGUCAACCUUUUCCCGCCAUAUUCUAAAUCUCGAAUAUCUCGAAAAGGAGGUCCAUGACCUAUCAAUAAUUUUAGCUUAUUUUUA
RNAcentral lists this long non-coding RNA (294 nucleotides) under Mytilus galloprovincialis (Mediterranean mussel). Lineage: Eukaryota; Metazoa; Mollusca; Bivalvia; Mytilida; Mytilidae. The record is from RNAcentral.